This 370-nucleotide long non-coding RNA is filed under the name Homo sapiens (human). Its description in RNAcentral is "non-protein coding lnc-HNRNPAB-1:1". Lineage: Eukaryota; Metazoa; Chordata; Mammalia; Primates; Hominidae. The record is from RNAcentral.
AUGUUGGAGUCCAAGAGGGUAGGGGAUGGAAGUGGCUGAGUCAGGAUUUGAACCCAGGGCAUGGUGUUUCUCAACAGGGUUGGCACCGGGAUUCUUGUUGAGAUGAUUUGUCACUGGGUAGGACUGUCCUAUGCAUUUUAGGUGUUUGCUAUCCCUGGCCCUGUCCCCUGAAUGCCCAGGUGUCCUGCAAUCAUUGUGCUAACCAGAAGCAUCCCAUGUAUUCCUAGUGGUCUCCUAGGGACCAGGAGGAAAGAGACCUGAAAGGGGUACUUUGAGGCUGUACUGCCUUUCUUGGCAGGAGGCCUGAGGCCCCCCAGUCCUUGAGUCUCAGCUGUGAAGCAGGGUGCUCCCCAGUGUCUCGGCUGGGACC